RNAcentral lists this ribosomal RNA (116 nucleotides) under Microcystis flos-aquae Ma_QC_C_20070823_S18. RNAcentral's name for it is "partial 16S ribosomal RNA". It matches the Rfam family "Bacterial small subunit ribosomal RNA", at positions 1424 to 1533 of the family's 1533-position model. The record is from RNAcentral. Lineage: Bacteria; Bacillati; Cyanobacteriota; Cyanophyceae; Chroococcales; Microcystaceae.
AAGGCGUUUCGCUAACCGCAAGGAGGCAGACGACCACGGUAGGGUCAGCGACUGGGGUGAAGUCGUAACAAGGUAGCCGUAGGGGAACCUGCGGCUGGAUCACCUCCUUUCUAAGG